RNAcentral lists this transfer RNA (66 nucleotides) under Saxidomus purpurata. RNAcentral describes it as "tRNA-Glu". It matches the Rfam family "tRNA". Rfam says of the family: Transfer RNA (tRNA) molecules are approximately 80 nucleotides in length. Their secondary structure includes four short double-helical elements and three loops (D, anti-codon, and T loops). Further hydrogen bonds mediate the characteristic L-shaped molecular structure. tRNAs have two regions of fundamental functional importance: the anti-codon, which is responsible for specific mRNA codon recognition, and the 3' end, to which the tRNAs corresponding amino acid is attached (by aminoacyl-tRNA synthetases). tRNAs cope with the degeneracy of the genetic code in two manners: having more than one tRNA (with a specific anti-codon) for a particular amino acid; and 'wobble' base-pairing, i.e. permitting non-standard base-pairing at the 3rd anti-codon position. The record is from RNAcentral. Lineage: Eukaryota; Metazoa; Mollusca; Bivalvia; Venerida; Veneridae.
UUUCUUGUGGUGUAAGUAACACACCAGUUUUUCGAGCUGGAAAUAAGUUUAAAUGCUUCAAGAGGC